This 67-nucleotide transfer RNA is filed under the name Korotnewia korotnewi. RNAcentral's name for it is "tRNA-Pro". The record is from RNAcentral. Lineage: Eukaryota; Metazoa; Mollusca; Gastropoda; Littorinimorpha; Baicaliidae.
CAGAGUAGUAGUUUAAUUAAAACACUAGCAUUGGAAGCUAAAAACUAGGCCUCAACCUACACUCUGA